Molecule: ribosomal RNA, 1489 nt
Filed under: metagenome
Description: bacterial SSU rRNA
Rfam family: Bacterial small subunit ribosomal RNA
Source: RNAcentral
AGAGUUUGAUCCUGGCUCAGGACGAACGCUUGCGGCGUGCCUGAGAAAUGCAAGUCGAGCGGGGGGUAGCAAUAUCCCUAGCGGCGAACGGUCGAGUAACACGUAAGCAACCUGCCCGGCGGUGGGGGAUAACAGCGGGAAACUGCUGCUAAUACCGCAUACGCAUGAGGGGUGGCAUCACCCAUCAUGUAAAGGCUUUGACUGCUGUCGGAGGGGCUUGCGGCCUAUUAGCUUGUUGGUGGGGUAACGGCCUACCAAGGCGACGAUGGGUAGCUGGUCUGAGAGGAUGGUCAGCCGGAUCGGGACUGAGACACGGCCCGGACUCCUACGGGGGGCAGCAAUCAGGAAUAUUGCGCAAUGGGGGAAACCCUGACGCAGCGACGCCGCGUGCGGGACGAAGGCCUUCGGGUCGUAAACCGCUGUUGUGGGAGACGAAGGGUGGCUGAUGAGGCCAACGAGACGGUAUCCCACGAGGAAGCCCCGGCUAACUACGUGCCAGCAGCCGCGGUAAUACGUAGGGGGCGAGCGUUGUCCGAAGUUACUGGGCGUAAAGCGCGCGUAGGCGGCUUCUUAAGUGGCCGGUGAAAUCCCCGGGCUCAACUCGGGAGGGUCUGGUCAUACUGGGAGGCUAGAGUGUGGGAGAGGAGAGCGGAACUCCAGGUGUAGCGGUGAUAUGCGUAGAUAUCUGGAAGAACACCCGUGGCGAAGGCGGCUCUCUGGACCACAACUGACGCUGAGGUGCGAAAGCCAGGGGAGCGAACGGGAUUAGAUACCCCGGUAGUCCUGGCCCUAAACGAUGGAUACUAGGUGUGGGGGGUAUCGACCCCUCCCGCGCCGCAGCUAACGCAAUAAGUAUCCCGCCUGGGGAGUACGGCCGCAAGGUUGAAACUCAAAGGAAUUGACGGGGGCCCGCACAAGCGGUGGAGCAUGUGGUUUAAUUCGAUGCUACGCGAAGAACCUUACCAGGGCUUGACAUCGUCGGACCGGCCUGGAAACAGGUCUUCUCCCGCGAGGGAGCCGGCAGACAGGUGCUGCAUGGCUGUCGUCAGCUCGUGUCGUGAGAUGUUGGGUUAAGUCCCGCAACGAGCGCAACCCCCAUCCUGUGUUGCCAGCGAGUAAAGUCGGGAACUCACAGGAAACUGCCCCUGUGAGGGGGAGGAAGGUGGGGAUGACGUCAAGUCAGCAUGGCCCUUACGUCCUGGGCGACACACAUGCUACAAUGGAUGCGACAAAGGGAAGCGAGGCGGCGACGCGGAGCGGAUCCCAAAAAGGCAUCCCCAGUUCGGACUGCAGUCUGCAAUUCGACUGCACGAAGGCGGAAUCGCUAGUAACCGCAGGUCAGCAGUACUGCGGUGAAUACGUUCCCGGGCCUUGUACACACCGCCCGUCACACCACCUGAGUCUGCUGCACCCGAAGUCCGUGGCCUAACCGCAAGGAAGGGGCGGCCGAAGGUGUGGCCGGUAAGGGGGGUGAAGUCGUAACAAGGUA